UGAGGCUUGGAACUCCGACCGUAAAACUUCGAGCUGACUAGGAGCUAUGCAUGUAUCUCAUUCAUACGUAGGACGAACACUGUUUCAAUCUUGUUAGGUGUCUUCGGCAAGCCCAAUAUUUUUGUAAUGAUACCUCACUCCAUCGUUAUCUUCUCCGUAUUAUUUGUACCUACCCCAACCUGUGGUCGUUUUGCACAAGGAUUUGCAGUAUGAUGUUCCCGUGGGCAUGUUGUGAUGAACCUGUCCAAUACCUUACUACACAUUCUACCAGCUUUUUGCUACAAAACAUAUAUUGCUGCUCAUAGGAUUUGAUGAAUGCCUCAUGUUUAGCAGUUCAAUUCUUUCCUAAUACGUACUGCAUUCUCUGGAUCCUGGAAUCGACGAAAACAGUUGUUCUGUUUCUCUUUUGUGGCCUUUGUCUGUGUGCCUGAGACAUGGUGCUGAGGACUAUGCAUGCGUAUGCUUAUACAAGCAUUAGUCAUUUUUUUUUUGUUAUCUUAGAAUGAUGAGCGUGUGUUCCCGUGAGGAUCUUUGCAUGUAAGGCUCAAUUUAUGUGUAGCCAUUAAGAUAUAUUCUGUUUGGCGAUUGUCUCGUACUCUCGUAUAAUGAAAUUUAACCGAAUGUAACCUCUCCUAAAUCGUCUGGACCUUUUAACUUCCCUGCAAGUUACACCCUUUGGCCUUAAGCAAACAUCUACACAGAUAAACAAAGAUAAACAAGAGCAAAGUAGUAAGGUUACUGAGACGGAGGCUUGUAUGUGGCCGGUCUGACCGCAGGUAUGUGGCCGGUCUGACCGUUAGGGUCCGAGUCUGAGUCUGUUUUCGUUGGGUCUGCUUGGAAAGGCAUGUUUUGGGUUUCUUUGGGUCUGCUCCGAGUCUGUUUUUAUUGGGUCUCGGGUUUCCUUGCUUGGGAAGGCAUGUUCCGAGUUUUCUUUUGGUUUCUAUCCUGAGUUGGACAUGGAGAAAGGCAUGUAGAGAGAGACUAACCCCUAUUUAAGAGACAAGACCGGUUCAAUUGUAAUACCCCAAACAUACAAUCUACUUGAAUCGCCUUUUCUUUUAUCAUUACUUUUCAGCCAUGUUUUCUACUUUACCCUAGUUUUAGUCCAUCUUUGUCGGUUUGCGUCGUAAAACGUCCGCCACCGCUGCGAGAGUGUGACACCUCUUUGUAGGCUUGUCCUGAAAACCUUCUGUUUUCCCACGAGACGGGUGGUUAUCCUCAUAUCGAUCUAAAUCGGCCUAGAGGCUGAUUUUGAUCUCUAAAUCGGCUCCGAUAGCCGGUUUAGCUAUUUUCUACAAAAACCCAUCUUGAUUUGGCCUUUUGGCUAGAUCGAGGUGGUUGGCGACUCCAUAUCACCGCAAAGCGUUUAGGUGCUGCGAUCGUGCUUGUCGACUUGUCAAAAAAGUUGCCAACACCUUCCUCACUAGAUUAGGUUUUCGGGUUGGGCAUAGUUCGUCAGUAGGUUUAGGGUGAGUAUUCAGUUCGAUCGAAAAUUUUGGUCACGGUCGGUCAUAAAAAAGUGAAGUCCAAAUAACAAUGCAAAGUUGUCAGUUCGGUCAUUAAAAAGUGAAGAAAAAUAACAACGCAAAAUUGUCAGUCUUAGUCCUAACCGAACUGUGCCAGUUCCAGGAGAUAAAAUUUGCAAUGAUAAAUUUUGACAGCACUGAACCUCUUUUAGACAACUUUUGACAGUUAUAUAUCACAAAAAUACAAGAUAAUAGGCAACACCAAACACCAAACAAAUAUCAAAAGAUAGGAUCAAGUAGCAAGAAUAAACCAAAAGCAUCAUGCACUUAGUUCUCAAUUUCACAUGACAUGCAUUACAUCACAUAUCAAAAUUCGGUUAUAUCGAUCAAUUCGUUUAACCGAGGUCACUAACAAAAUUGACCGAAUAAAUUUCAGUCUUUCAUUGGUUGAGACCUAACUACUGACUGAAUUUCUCAGUCUCGGGAUUUUCGGUUCGGUCUUAUUUUGCCCACCCCUAAGUAGGUUAUGUUAGAGUUUCUUCAAUUUCUUCUCUUCUCAUGCCAUUAUGUAGUGUCGGGCUUGUUUCAUUUUGGAGUUCACUAUUGGAAAUCAUAGCCCUAUUUGUCUCCUAGCAGCAGUAACCAUAGAGGGUUUAUCGUUCGGGUUGAGUAUGAAUCAAAUGUGUAACUUUGGUUGGCAGGAUUGCAGGCUGAGAUCCUCAUAUUCAAUGGCAAACUCCAUGGAUAUGCUUUUGCUGAGUCUAGUGAAGCUCACACGAAAAUCUACUGUUCAUCAGCAAAGCUAUGUUUGUUCCUAUGGUGGCAGCAGAAGGUGGUCAUCGAUUUGUCAAGCGGAGUGCAUGUCAAAAGGAGGCCAAGGAUGUAACUCUGUGGCAACGCCGCAGAUCCCCUGUCAAUUUGCUCAUCUACUGUUUGUUUGGUUUCAUUGUGAGGUUUGUUUCGUUAGUUUUGUUAGCUGUUCUUUUGAUUCUAAUGCUUUAAACUGAUUUAUUCGACGAUGUCCUAGGAUUAUUUAUCUAAACUCUUAUUUUUUAAUAAAGUGUUUAUGAUUUAAAAAACCACUUUAUAUAACAUUUUACAUACAUAUAUAUAAACUUUAUAUACAUACAUAUAAAAUUUAUAUAAAUAUAUAUAAAGUUUAUACGUAUAUAUAGAAACAUCAGUGAACAGUGGACUAGGGGUGCGCAUUAGUGGCCUGGGGGGUGGGGGGGCGCUUGUGCUAGUUGUUAGAAUUCACGUUGUCAACAAUCGAACAAGCACACACGAACACACGGACACGAAAGUGGAGGGCAAUUAACUUUAUUGAUGUUUCUCUCUCUGUUACAAGUAUUACUUUACCCUCAACCUCACUAUUGUUUUUAUACCCACAAUAGGAUGUCAUAUAUGGAUACAUACAUAUAUAUUUGGUAUAAGCCCACUUUAUUCAUAAGGAAACAGAAGAAGGAGGAGGAGGUACCGUGAUCCUCACGAUCACGGUCCUACAAAUCCGACUCCUUCGGGAGAUCGGUUUCAUAACACUCCCAUUUGGGCGAAUACCGCGUUAUAUAUAUGCCUCAUCAAAACUCCUUCCAAAAACCCAGUGGGAGAAAAGGAAUAGGAGAAAGAGUACAUAGUACAUGCUACUUAUAUUGCACUGUUGCCUCAUUAAAAACCUAAAUGUGAGAAACUUCAAAGAAAUCUCACUUAAGGGAAAAAGAGUACAACCAUAAGCUAAUCUACUGGAUAACUCUAUCAUUCUUCAAGAAUGAUGUACUGAUCUGCAUGAUCAAUAUCAACGGAAUACAGUCAGGGAAGUGCUCCCCCUGAUUUGGGCACAUCUCUCAUCCUUCUCAUACCGAUGCCAUGCACAAGCUUCUCAAAAACACUAGUUGGCAAAGACUUAGUAAAUAAAUCUGCAAGAUUUUCACUAGUCUUGGUGAGAGUCACCUUGAUUUCUUCUUUCUUUUGCAAUUCAUGCAUAUAGAAGAAUUUAGGUGAUAUAUGUUUAGUGAGACUCGUCUUCACAUAACCCGUUUGUAUUUGUGCAACACAAGCUGAAUUAUCUUCAUAAAUAAUGGUUGGAGUUGGUGUGAUAUUCAGCCCACAUGUAUUCUGUACAUGUUGUAUCACCCUCCUCAACCACAUGCAUUCCUUGCUCGCUUCAAAUAAUGCUAUAAUCUCCGAGUGAUUUGUUGAUGUCGCGACCAUCGUCUACUUCGUCGACUUCCAUGAGAUGGCUGUACCACCACAGAGAAACAUAUACCCAGUCUGUGACAAUGCUUUAUGGGGGUCUGACAGAUAUCCAACAUUAGCAUAUCCCACCAUGGUUAAAUCUUGAUUUUUUCUAAAGAAUAAACCGAGAUAUUGUGUGCCACGUAAAUAACGGAAGAUUUGCUUAACACCAUUCCAAUGCCGUUUGGUAGGAGCUGAACUGAACCUUGCAAGUAGGUUAACAGCAAAUGCAAUAUCAGGCCUGGUACCAUUCGCGAGAUACAUUAAAGCUCCAAUGGCGCUUAAAUAUGGACAUUCAGGUCCCAAUAAUUCCUCGUUAUUUUCCUGUGGUCUAAAUGGGUCACUCUCUACUGCUAGAGAUCUUACUACCAUGGGGGUUCUCGUCGGAUAUGAAUCCUUCAUAUUAAAUUUCUCCAAUAUCUUCUGGAUAUAUGCAGACUGGUGUAACAAUACCCCUUCAGGAGUGUGCUCAAGCUGCAGACCUAAGCAAUAUUUAGUCUUACCUAAUUCUUUCAUCUCGAACUCCGUCUUUAGGUAAGAACUAGCUUCCUUAAUCACCUGUGUGGUCCCGAUGAUAUUCAGAUCAUCCACAUAUACAGAAAUAAUACAAAAUCCAUGUUCUGAUUUUUUUGAUAAACACACAGGGACAGUCAUCAUUCUUGAUGAAUCCUUUUCCUUCUAGGAAUUCACUGAGCCGGUUGUACCACAUCCUACCGGAUUGUUUUAACCCAUACAAUGAUCGUUGCAAUUUAACACUAUAUAUGUUGCGUUUUGUUUCUUCAGGAACUUGAAUCCCGUCGGGAACUUUCAUAUAGAUUUCAGAAUCCAAUGACCCAUAUAAAUAUGCGGUCACUACAUCCAUCAACUGCAUUUCUAAGUUCAAAUUGACUGCCAUAGAUAUUAAAAACCGGAAUGUAAUUCCAUCCAUUACAGGUGAAUAGGUUUCAUCGAAAUCGAUGCCAGGUCUCUGAGUAAACCCUUGUGCUACUAUUCUCGCUUUAUACCGAACCACCUGGUUGUUCUCAUCCCGUUUUCGGACGAACACCCAUUUAUAUCCUACAGGGGAUAUCCCUAUGGGGGUACGAUCAACAGGACCGAAUACUUUUCUUUUAUUAAGCGAGAUUAACUCUGCCUUUAUUGCUUCUUUCCAUUUGACCCAGUCUGAACGCUUUUUGCAUUCUGCCAUGGACUUUGGUUCUGGAUCCAGAUCAAUGAUCUUAGCGAUCUUUCCGGCAAAGUAUAUGUCAACAAUAGUAGUCUCUCUAUUGUAUGUUUCACUUGUAUCCACAUAAUUGGUGGAUAUUUCCUCUAUUCUUUCACAUUCCUGAUCUUCAUUGUUUCCCGCAAUUGUGCGCGCAUUCUCAUUGGGUUCAUUGCCAUCCGGGCAUAUCACUGUAGGUGGCUCAUCUACCUGGUGAGCUCCUUCACUAUUCUCUAGUGCUGUGGUAUUCUGUCCAAUCUUUUGUUUCGAAGGACGUCUCCUAGAAACUUUAGUUUGGUUGUGUGCAACUGGUGGUCUCCCCCUCUUCCUAAAAGUUGGGGUAGAUGUAGAAAUUAAUUUGAAAACCGGUUCCUCUGCGUCAUGAGGUAUUUCUACUCUUUCCGGUGCAUUCACAGCAGGUAUAUGAGAUUUCAUGAUCCCCUUUGGGUUAGUGAAGGCUUCUGGCAGAUUAUUUGCAAUUCUUUGCAAAUCAAUUAUGGUCUGAACUUCCUGGUCAGAUUCCUUAGUACGUGGAUCUAAAUGUAGGAGAUUUUUAGUUUCCCACUCAAUUUCGCGGCAUUCGACCUUCUGUAGGUACUUUCCUCCCCCUAAUGCCGGGAAAUGAUCUUCAUUAAAUAUACAAUCAGCGUAUCGACCCAUAUGUAGGUCUCCUGUCAAUGGUUCUAAAAAUUUAAUGAUAGACGGAGAUUCAAAUCCUACAUAGAUUCCCAAUUUUCUAUGAGGACCCAUUGACGUACGCUUAGGUGGCGGUAUAGGGACGUAUGCAGCACAUCCAAAUUUGCGCAGAUGGGAAAUAUUUGGUGCAUAUCCACGUGUAAGCUGCAUAGGGGAUACAGCAUUUAUGCAGUAGGUCUGAUUUGAAAUAACGCCGCUGCAUGCAAAACAGCGUGUCCCCAACAUGUAGUUGGUAGGUGCGAUAAGCUUAAUCCUCUUAAUUAAUGAUUCGGCGAGACCAUUCUAAGUGUGGACGUGUGGUACAGAAUGUUCCACUUUAAUUCCCAAAGCCAUGCAAUAUUCAUUAAAUACCUUAGAGGUAAACUCCCCGGCAUUGUCCAUUCUAAUGGAUUGUAUCCGGUUAUCCGGGAAACUGGCUCUCAACUGGAUUAUUUGGGAAAUAAGCCGCGCAAAAGCGUGGUUUCUUGUAGAAAGUAAACAAACAAUGCUCCAUCGAGUUGAUGCAUCAAUUAAUACCAUAAAAUACUAGAAUGAUCCGGACAUUGGAUUAAUUGGUCCACAUAUGUCUCCUUGUAUUCGUUGCAAGAAUACUGGUGAUUCGGCAUUCACCUUUAAAUUAGAGGGUCUAACGAUUAAUUUCCCUGUUGCACAAUCAGUGCAAACAAAAUCUUCUUGGUUUGGGAAAUCGUUACUUCGUAAAUUAUGGCCAUUUGAAGUUGAGAUGAUUCUUCUCAUCAUCCCUAGACCUAGAUGUCCUAACCUGUCAUACCAUAUUCUGUAUGACUCAGGAUUUUUAAAUAUUGUUUUCAGUGCAACAUUUUCGGGUUUUAUAUGAGUGUAGUACAGGCCAGAUUUCAAGGAAUGGAGUUUUUCAACAACAGUAUUACGAUUUCCGUCUAAUUUCGUUAUGAGAAGAAAUUCGAGUUUAUUCUCAUCUUUGGUUUCUACAUGAUAACCAUUAGCACGGAUAUCUUUAAAGCUUAGUAGAGUACGACUGGACUCUGGAUAUAAUAGAGCAUCAUUUAUAAUGAUCUUGGUACCAUGUGGGAGAACUACUGUUGCUCGUCCCACUCCGACGAUGUGUGCAUUGCUUCCGGUAAUGGUAGCGAUUUGACCAGUCUUUUUCUUUAAAGUCUGGAAAUACGUGGUAUCUCGAAAGAUAGUAUUGGUGGUACAGCAGUCUACUAGACACAUCUCCUCUUCCAUUGCCAUAGUACGUAACACUGUUCUAUCAUAAAGCAUUUAAAUAUAAUCAAUUCAUGACCAUAUAGUAAAAAUAACACUUUAAGAUAGAAAAAUAAAAAUCUGGAGAAUAUAUUAAACUAAAAGAGUUAACUAAAUUAUUAAGAUAACCAUGCUCUGAAGGAGCUUACAGAAACUAUAGUUCUGCUAGGAACACAAACUAAAUGCACACUUGAAAAAUCACCUAACUUUAGUCUAUUACAUAGUCUAAAAUUUAAAGUAACUUGUAAUGCAGGAAGCUAAGAUACAAAUUGGAAGACUUAAAUGUCCCCAUAUAACUGAUCAGAGUCCAUGAGAUCAUCUGAGAGCUUCAGCUCUGUGUCUGCUGCAUUAUGUUCCAUCUUAUCAUCGAUGUGCAUUGCAACCACUGCCUUCUCGUCGACCUUCUUGUCGAUAUGCAUGGCAGCCAUCUUCUCCUCUGAGUUCUAGAUCUCAACAGUGAAGUGUGACUCAUGCUCUGACUUCUUCUUCCCGUGCUUCUAUUGAUAAAGCUCAAUGAGAUGCUUAGGGGUGCGGCAAAUGCGAGACCAAUGUCCCCUAGUGCCACACUUGAAGCAUACCUGAUCUUGCUUUCCAUAUUCACCACUAGUAGAGCCCUUCUUAGACUUACUGUUCUGAUUUCCUUUCUUCUUGAAAGAUGUCUUGUUAACUUUGCCACCAUUUUUCCAGAAAUUCUUCCCUUUGUUCUGGUUAUUCUGGUUUUUCCCCUUCUUAAAGGAGCUAGCAUUUGCUUCGGGUGCUGCUGAACUUCCAGUGGGGCGAGACGUAUGAUUUUCAACAAGUGUCUCAUCUUCUCCUUGCGCUUCCAUGAGCACGGAGACCAGUUCAGAAUACUUCUCGUAUUUAGCCUGGUGGUAUUGCCUCUGAAUAUUCACAUGAUUGGCAUGGAAGGUGGACAAAGUUUUGUCUAUCAUGUCAGCAUCAGUGAUUUUCUCUCCACAUAGCUUAAGACAAGUGACAAUGCGGUGAAGAACUGAGUUAUAUUGCUCCAUAGAUUUGUAAUCUUGGAAACGUAAGUGAAGCCACUCACGUUUUGCUUUUGGGAGCAAAGCCUUUACUUGAUGGCCAUAGCGAUCCUUCAGUGAGUCCCAAAGGACCUUCGGAUCUUCCUCAGUCAUAUACUCAUUCUUGAGAGUAGUAUUCAAAUGGUGCCUCAGGUAAUGCAGUGCCUGAUUUUUCUCGGCUGAAGUUGGUAAAUUAUUAACUCCUCCAGCUGAUGUUGCAAUAGUUGGGUCCUGAAUGCAGUUCAGGAGUUUCUUAGCACCAAGCAUGAUUUUGGCAUCUAGUGCCCAUGUCAGGUAAUUCUUGCCGCUGACUGCUAGUUCAGCAAAAUCUCUCUUAGCAAUAUCAGUCAUUUUCCUACAUUAGUCAUGCAAAAUUCAAUAAGUACUGCAAGUAAGAGCAUGACAAGUGUGCAAAUAGUAAAUUGUCUGGUUAUCUAAAUUUAGUACUGUGUCAAUAUAUUCCCAUAAUUCUCCCAACAUUUCUCAGAAUUGCUGUACUAUUAUUUAUUUAGGUACCAAAGUAAUUACUGAAUUACUAACCCAUUAAAUAGUAUCCUGAAAAAAUAAAACAGCUUGGAAAAUAAACCAUAAAUAUGAUGCUCUCUGGUGUGUACUAAAUUUCAAAUUAUGAGAGCUCAUUUCCUAAAAACCAUGUCUCUAGGAUUCUAUGGUUGAUUCAAAAAUUAACUAAUGAACACUUAAUACAUAGAAAAUCGAGGGCUAAGACAAAGAAAAAGCAUUAAACAUCUUCUCUGUUUCGGCAUAAAAUAAUGCAGAAUAACCAAAAUUAUAGUGUUCCCCGUAAUUUCUAUAAUCCCGAGGGAUUAUUCCGCUAAAAUUCCAAAUCCGCAUGAAAUCAGAAAAUAUUCGGAAGUUUGCCGUUUUUCGGGGCAAAUUUCGAUUCGAGCCCGACUCCUUUUAUAGGCCAAAAUCUUUUUCGGCCCACCUCCAUGAACCGGCCAUUCAAGGAAUUAGUAGCCGGCCCGUCAGGGCCGUUGGCCUGCUAAUGGCCUUGGCCCACGGUGCAGCCCAACAAAGGGGAGCCACACCUUAUCCGAUUCGGAUGGCUAGGGUUGAAUCCCUAGCCCCAAAAUCCCCAAUUCGGCGGCGGCGGCGGAUUUCCCGGUGACUCAUGCGAGCGAGGCGGCGGUGGCUCGUCGUCACGGCGGGGUCGACGGAGCUCGUCAGCGCGGCGGGGUCGACGAUAGAGGCGGAGCGGCGGUGAGGCUACAAGCAGCACCGACGCCGGCGUGGUUGGCUACGGGCAUAUCCGGCGUUCGGCUAGCGCAGCUCCUUGCUGUGCGCCGGUGGAGUUUGGUUCGGCAUGCGGGCUGGCGAGGCGGAGAGCUAUCGGCAGCGGGAGGCCACGGCGGCUUCGACCCCCAUCCCAGUCGCGUGCGGUAGCGCGGGAGGUGUGCCGUGCGUGCCGGCGGCGGGGGAUGCGGACGCGGUCUCCUCAGCGUCUCUGCGGGCGGCGGCCGUCAACGGCGAGUGCAGGCGGUCGAUUGAAGACCCGUCGGCUGGCUUUUCAAGGGCGAACCGACGAUGGAAAGCCGAUGGCACGAUUCUGCGGCCAUCGGUGAAGGGGGUGACCGGCAACGCGUGUUGGCGGCGGCAAGGGCACGACGGCGCAUGCUGGCGUCAUUGACUCGGUUUCGUCGUCGUCAACUUCAGGACGACGGCGGCACUAGCAUGAGGAUUUGGGCCGACUCGUUCGGAAUCGGUGAUCAUGUUAGCCAGGUACACGAUUCUUCUCAUGUGCAUCGCGAUUACACCCUGAACGUAGCGUCGCCCUUCGAGGUAUCACUAGUUCUAAACCGUCGUUCUUGCAGCGGCUUGUCUGAUCCGUUCGCGCAUCUAGGGCGUACGAUAUACGUGUCUUUGUUUGCAAGAAAAGAAACCCAGCGCAAAGGCUGGGAACAGAUCUAAUCGGACUAUAGCGAUAACUGCUUCUCAUUCGAUAGAUCGGUUGUAUAAGGGAUAACCCCAUACGCCUGUCGUGCAUGGGGUGGAGAGCCGCAAACUCUCCUGCUACGUGCGCCAUAAGGGACAAAUCCACGUAGUACAACCCAUCGAUCGAACGAUUAGCGGAGAAAAAAAAUAAUAGAAAACGAUCUAGUAAGUUUAUCAUUAUCCCUAUAGAACGAGAUUAGAACAUAUCGAUGUUGACAAUAUACCUUGUCUGAAGAGCACCUCAUGCUGAUAACGUGUUAGAAUUCACGUUGUCAACAAUCGAACAAGCACACACGAACACACGGACACGAAAGUGGAGGGCAAGUUCGAAAGUGGAGGGCAAUUAACUUUAUCGAUGUUUCUCUCUCUGUUACAAGUAUUACUUUGCCCUCAACCUCACUAUUGUAUUUAUACCCACAAUAGGAUGUCGUAUAUGGAUACAUACAUAUAUAUUUGGUAUAAGCCCACUACAUUAACGAGGAAACAGAAGGAGGAGGUACCGUGAUCCUCACGAUCACGGUCCUACAAAACCGAUCUUCCGAACACUAGUUACUCGUCUAGCGCGUGUGAAAUAAGAAUCCCAUUGUAUCCAGUAAUAAUUUUGUUUUUUUAUUGGACGGAGAGAAAAUUUUUUAGUCCGUAUAGAGAAAUUCGCACGUUUUCAGAAGCUUCCUGCCUCUCCGCUCUCCAUGUGCGUGCCACCAAAUUUCCCUGGAGACCGAUCUCAGCCGUCCAUCCCAAGAUCGGACGCCCUCCAUCCCAUGCCCACCAUCCUUAUAUUAUUCUCCGCUCCUCUCCACCACCCCUUCUCUUCCCUUCCCUCCCCCCCAAAUCCAUCCGCUUCCACCCCCCAGCCCCCGAAUUCCAUCGCAGAUCAGAUCAGGUGAGCUCUCCCGCCCCUCCCUUCUCCGGCGAUCCAUCCGCCGCCCGAUGAUUCUACUGGAUCCGCCGUUUCUCCGCGUUCGAUUUCGUUGGUUGAUGCGUGGGGGCGAAGAUCCGGCGCCAUUUGUUUCGAGAUUUGAUCUGGUUUUCGAGGCGUUAGGGCGUGGGGGGAGGGAGGUUGGAUCUCGUGGCGGAUUUGGAUUUUAACGGAUGGGAUCGUAUGGAUUUGCAGGUGAAAAAAGAGGAGAGAGGAGGGGGGAAGAUGGGGUUGGCGUUCGGGAAGCUGUUCAGCCGGCUGUUCGCGAAGAAGGAGAUGCGGAUCCUGAUGGUGGGGCUCGACGCCGCCGGAAAGACCACCAUCCUCUACAAGCUCAAGCUCGGCGAGAUCGUCACCACCAUCCCCACCAUUGGUCAGCCACAUGCGUUUCUCUUUCUGUAUGUACAUUGUUAUAUUACUAGCUAAAUGCCCGUGCGAUGCGACGGAUAUUGUAAGAAAUAAAAUCAAAAGCAAAAGCAAAAAAUGACAAGUUUGUAGCAUUGUUAAUUGAUUAGGCAUAUAAUGCUAUAUCCAAAAGAAAAAGGCAUGUAAUUACAAGUUUAUAGCAUAGAGUUAAUUGAUUAGACACCACAUGUCAGCUCGUAGCAUUGGAGGCGGACUCGGAUGCCACCACUAGCAUCAUUUAAAGUAGUAUAGGAAUAUGCCAAUUUCUUUGGCCUUGCCGCUUGCUGUUUGUGUUCUAUCCAGGACCCCAUCCGUUGCCUAUGACUUAUUAUAAGCCGUAAUGUCUUAUUAGUGAUUAGAAAAUAAUUUGUAUGUAGAUAUUUACUUAUAUGUUCUUAGCAACUUAAAAGCCAUUACUGAGGAAAAAGGUACAUUGAAAAAGCGUCAAAAUCAACUUCAAAAUCAUGUUUUAAAAUUCAAUUCUUUUGCAGUGGCAUAUGAGCCAAUGGGUAAACGAUGAGGCCUCCAGAAUGUAAUUUAGUUCGUGCUGCUAUUUUCAUGGUUGUAUAAACAUCAAAUUUCCAUUUCUGACUUUCUGUACAUUGUAUAUGCCAAUUUCUUUAGCCUUGUUGCGUGCUGUUAGAGUUCAUUUCCAGAAUGGACUUUAGUUCUGCAGAGUUGUUGUCGCUAGGUUUUCUUGGCUGUAUUGACGUCAAAUUUCCUAAUUGGAUGGAAAGACGAAAUGUCCUAUUCCAUGACCAUGGGAAUGCUAAGUUUUUACUAGCACACUUGAUAGGCAGAGAUGUCUGCUUGUCAUUUGUUUUACUUGAAAAGCUAUUUGAACUAUUGCAUAACGCUGGGAGCUGUUUCUUAUGAAAUUUAAGACUUCAACUUUACAUGUAGGAUAUCGAUUGAAUCUUAAAUUGUCGGAGUGAACUUUAUUAGGCAUCUAUUUAGGUUUUAAAUUUUAAACUAUUCAACAUUUGGAUCCUUUUAUGUUCUUGACUCCUUGUGCUAUGGUAUUAUCUCCUUUUCUAUUUAUUUAUUUGUAUCUUUCAAGCUAACUGAUUUUCUUUGAAUUAUAGGGUUCAAUGUUGAAACUGUUGAGUACAAGAACAUUAGCUUCACUGUCUGGGAUGUGGGGGGUCAAGACAAGGUAAGAACUGCAGCCAUAUUUUGACCAAUAUUUUUAUUUGAUGCCUUCAAUUAAAUUUAUCUUUGUCAUUAUUAGCAUCUGGUUUCCUAGUUAUUUAUGUUGUUUACAUUAAGCUGUCCUAUGUCUUGAUUUGUUUUAAUAUUUAAAAUGUUGACAUAUGUUAUCUCACCUUAUGAUUGAUCUUUGUAAAUGCUUGCAAAAACAGAUCAGACCUCUUUGGAGGCAUUACUUCCAGAACACACAGGGUCUUAUCUUUGUUGUGGAUAGCAAUGAUCGCGACCGUGUUGUGGAAGCUAGAGAUGAGCUGCACAGGAUGCUGAAUGAGGUAAAUUGUUCUCUGUCACUUUUUUUUGCUAUCGCUGUACCAUAUGGCUUAUUUGAUCAAUUAUGCCUCUGGUUUGAUCGAUGUACAUAAUAAUUAACAAAGCAACUGUGAAAAUAUCAUAUUCCAAUUGAUAAGCUAACAACUUUCUGCAACCCUAUCUGAUGAAAUUUAAUUGGAUUUAUGGCAGGAUGAGUUGCGUGAUGCUGUGUUGCUUGUGUUUGCCAACAAGCAAGAUCUUCCAAACGCUAUGAAUGCUGCUGAGAUUACUGAUAAGCUUGGAUUACAUUCCCUUCGUCAGCGUCACUGGUAAAUACGAAUUACUGGUGGAUCCUUGCUCUUUUCUUUUUAGUCCUUUCUGUAGAUAUAGUGUGAUGCUCAAUGAUAACUGAUUAUAGACUAGGGGAAAUUCCUUCUAUCCUUUGUUUCGAUUGUAACACAUCAUGUUGCCAUUAUUCAUGUUACUCACUGCUUCACUUUUUCCCAUGGUACUCUGGAUCUCAACCUGGUCUUCUUUCUGACAGGUACAUCCAGAGCACUUGUGCCACAACUGGCGAGGGUUUGUAUGAGGGCCUGGAUUGGCUGUCCAGCAACAUUGCUAGCAAGGUACAAAACUAUUCAUUCUCAGUUCAAUUGUUAUACUAGACUUUAUUCUGGUACUGUGCUUGCACAGAUAGUGCCUUUUCAAAGUUCUAUGUAUACUCUUUUUUUUUUCAACUUCGCUGUUCUGCUCUUGUAGGCUUGAUGCUUGAUACGUGGACCUUUAAGACAUGGAGCUGACUAGGAGCUAUGGCAUGUAUCUCAUUCAUAUGUAGGACGAAGCACUGUUUCAAUCUGUUUUUGUAAGGCAUGUGGCUUCGGCGAGUCCAAUAUUUUUGUAAUGAUACCUCACUUGAAUGUUCCGUACUUUUGGAUAUUAUUUGUACCUGUUCAUUUUGCACAAGGAUUUACAGCAUGAUGGAUGUUUCCGCGACAUGUUACUUGGAACUUGUCAAUUAUCCUCCGUUUCACAAUGUAAGACUUUCUAGCAUUAUCUAUAUUCAUAUAGAUAAUAGCAUUACCCAUAUUCAUAUAGAUAAU
RNAcentral lists this long non-coding RNA (13676 nucleotides) under Oryza sativa (Asian cultivated rice). RNAcentral describes it as "long non-coding RNA (OSAT_LNC001303)". Lineage: Eukaryota; Viridiplantae; Streptophyta; Magnoliopsida; Poales; Poaceae. The record is from RNAcentral.